AUUGAACGCUGGCGGCAGGCCUAACACAUGCAAGUCGAACGGUAACAGGAAGAAGCUUGCUUCUUUGCUGACGAGUGGCGGACGGGUGAGUAAUGUCUGGGAAACUGCCUGAUGGAGGGGGAUAACUACUGGAAACGGUAGCUAAUACCGCAUAACGUCGCAAGACCAAAGAGGGGGACCUUCGGGCCUCUUGCCAUCGGAUGUGCCCAGAUGGGAUUAGCUAGUAGGUGGGGUAACGGCUCACCUAGGCGACGAUCCCUAGCUGGUCUGAGAGGAUGACCAGCCACACUGGAACUGAGACACGGUCCAGACUCCUACGGGAGGCAGCAGUGGGGAAUAUUGCACAAUGGGCGCAAGCCUGAUGCAGCCAUGCCGCGUGUAUGAAGAAGGCCUUCGGGUUGUAAAGAACUUUCAGCGGGGAGGAAGGGAGUAAAGUUAAUACCUUUGCUCAUUGACGUUACCCGCAGAAGAAGCACCGGCUAACUCCGUG
Molecule: ribosomal RNA, 490 nt
Filed under: uncultured bacterium
Lineage: Bacteria
Description: partial 16S ribosomal RNA
Rfam family: Bacterial small subunit ribosomal RNA
Source: RNAcentral